GGAAUAUUGGACAAUGGGGGCAACCCUGAUCCAGCCAUGCCGCGUGAGUGAUGAAGGCCCUAGGGUUGUAAAGCUCUUUCAGCGAGGAGGAUAAUGACGUUACUCGCAGAAGAAGCCCCGGCUAACUUCGUGCCAGCAGCCGCGGUAAUACGAAGGGGGCUAGCGUUGUUCGGAAUUACUGGGCGUAAAGCGCGCGUAGGCGGACUGGAAAGUUGGGGGUGAAAUCCCAGGGCUCAACCCUGGAACUGCCUCCAAAACUAUCAGUCUAGAGUUCGAGAGAGGUGAGUGGAAUUCCGAGUGUAGAGGUGAAAUUCGUAGAUAUUCGGAAGAACACCAGUGGCGAAGGCGGCUCACUGGCUCGAUACUGACGCUGAGGUGCGAAAGUGUGGGGAGCAAACAGGAUUAGAUACCCUGGUAGUCCACACCGUAAACGAUGAGAGCUAGUUGUUGGCAGGCAUGCCUGUCGGUGACGCAGCUAACGCAUUAAGCACUCCGCCUGGGGAGUACGGUCGCA
RNAcentral lists this ribosomal RNA (514 nucleotides) under uncultured Vexilliferidae. RNAcentral describes it as "partial Bacterial small subunit ribosomal RNA". It matches the Rfam family "Bacterial small subunit ribosomal RNA", at positions 358 to 890 of the family's 1533-position model. Lineage: Eukaryota; Discosea; Flabellinia; Dactylopodida; Vexilliferidae. The record is from RNAcentral.